GGGAAUAGUCCGCAAAAAUAAAGGGUAAAUAACAGAAGUUUACACCAGUGUAAUGGUAUGACCUAUAUGCCCUCCUUUGAUCAUGUUUUCUGCUAGUAAGAUCUCCGGUUUGAGAGCGAUCCCGUAGUCCCCAGACAUCAUGGUGGAUAGCCUAAAAAAUGACAUUUUCUCGCUAGUUACGGAUGCGAUUCAGAUCGUCGGGGUAGCAACU
RNAcentral lists this unclassified non-coding RNA (211 nucleotides) under Hevea brasiliensis (rubber tree). Lineage: Eukaryota; Viridiplantae; Streptophyta; Magnoliopsida; Malpighiales; Euphorbiaceae. The record is from RNAcentral.